Molecule: ribosomal RNA, 113 nt
Filed under: Prevotella sp. oral taxon 820
Lineage: Bacteria; Pseudomonadati; Bacteroidota; Bacteroidia; Bacteroidales; Prevotellaceae
Source: RNAcentral
UUAGGUGGUUACAGCGGCAGGGUCCCACCUCUUCCCAUUCCGAACAGAGCCGUUAAGCCUGCCCGCGCCGAUGGUACUGCAAUGCAAUGCGGGAGAGUAGGUCGCCGCCUUUU